AAAACUGAAUAGUUCCAAGCCCGCGCCGCCUACGGGAAACUAUGGAGGUCGGGCCUAAACUCCUUGGGGUUUACGGGGUAUCGCCGGAAACGGCGGUGCCUUCCAAAAUUGAGAAGGAACAAAUUGCUGUGCGUC
RNAcentral lists this non-coding RNA (135 nucleotides) under Sporobacter termitidis. Its description in RNAcentral is "MoCo sequence". It matches the Rfam family "Molybdenum/Tungsten riboswitch aptamer (Moco RNA motif)". Lineage: Bacteria; Bacillati; Bacillota; Clostridia; Eubacteriales; Oscillospiraceae. The record is from RNAcentral. RNAcentral also lists the same sequence under 1 other name.